UAAGGAAUAUUGGUCAAUGGACGCAAGUCUGAACCAGCCAUGCCGCGUGAAGGAUUAAGGCCCUCUGGGUUGUAAACUUCUUUUAUAGGGGAAGAAAUGUGACGGUUCUCCGUCACUUGACGGUACCCUGGGAAUAAGCACCGGCUAACUCCGUGCCAGCAGCCGCGGUAAUACGGAGGGUGCAAGCGUUAUCCGGAUUCACUGGGCGUAAAGGGCGCGUAGGCGGUCUGUUAAGUCCGAUGUUAAAUCCCGGGGCUCAACCCCGGAUAAGCGUUGGAUACUGGCAGGCUAGACGGUUGGAGAGGCGAGUGGAAUCACCAGUGUAGCGGUGGAAUGCGUAGAUACUGGUAGGAACACCCAUUGCGAAGGCAGCUCGCUGGACAACACGUGACGCUGAGGCGCGAAAGUGUGGGGAGCAAACC
RNAcentral lists this ribosomal RNA (422 nucleotides) under uncultured bacterium. RNAcentral describes it as "bacterial SSU rRNA". It matches the Rfam family "Bacterial small subunit ribosomal RNA", at positions 355 to 774 of the family's 1533-position model. The record is from RNAcentral.